UGCGAUGAUGGUGUAAUUUGCGUCUUAUACUGUGCACAGUGACAGUUGCCUACUGUCGAUUAACUGGCACAGAAAAAUGACGAUCAUGCAAAUCUGAGCA
Small nucleolar RNA from Callorhinchus milii (elephant shark), 100 nucleotides. Its record names the gene SNORD16. It matches the Rfam family "Small nucleolar RNA SNORD16". From Rfam's summary of the family: U16 is a member of the C/D class of snoRNA which contain the C (UGAUGA) and D (CUGA) box motifs. U81 acts as a guanine methylation guide and is found in an intron of ribosomal proteins L1 gene in animals. The record is from Ensembl. NCBI's taxonomy places the organism in Eukaryota, Metazoa, Chordata, Chondrichthyes, Chimaeriformes, Callorhinchidae.